UGUCGUCAGCUCGUGUCGUGAGAUGUUGGGGUAAGUCCCGCAACGAAACAACCCUCGCCCUUAGUUGCCAGCAUUCAGUUGGGCACUCUAAGGGGACUGCCGGUGAUAAGCCGAGAGGAAGGUGGGGAUGACGUCAAGUCCUCAUGGCCCUUACGGGCUGGGCUACACACGUGCUACAAUGGUGGUGACAGUGGGCAGCGAGACCGCGAGGUCGAGCUAAUCUCCGGCAGCCAUCUCAGUUCGGAUUGCACUCUGCAACUCGAGUGCAUGAAGUUGGAAUCGCUAGUAAUCGCG
This 294-nucleotide ribosomal RNA is filed under the name uncultured Mesorhizobium sp. Its description in RNAcentral is "partial 16S ribosomal RNA". It matches the Rfam family "Bacterial small subunit ribosomal RNA", at positions 1050 to 1346 of the family's 1533-position model. The record is from RNAcentral. Lineage: Bacteria; Pseudomonadati; Pseudomonadota; Alphaproteobacteria; Hyphomicrobiales; Phyllobacteriaceae.